AUUGAACGCUGGCGGCAGGCCUAACACAUGCAAGUCGAGCGGAUGAAGGGAGCUUGCUCCUGGAUUCAGCGGCGGACGGGUGAGUAAUGCCUAGGAAUCUGCCUGGUAGUGGGGGAUAACGCCGGAAACGGGCGCUAAUACCGCAUACGUCCUGAGGGAGAAAGUGGGGGAUCCUCGGACCUCACGCUAUCAGAUGAGCCUAGGUCGGAUUAGCUAGUUGGUGGGGUAAAGGCCUACCAAGGCGACGAUCCGUAACUGGUCUGAGAGGAUGAUCAGUCACACUGGAACUGAGACACGGUCCAGACUCCUACGGGAGGCAGCAGUGGGGAAUAUUGGACAAUGGGCGAAAGCCUGAUCCAGCCAUGCCGCGUGUGUGAAGAAGGUCUUCGGAUUGUAAAGCACUUUAAGUUGGGAGGAAGGGCAGUAAGUUAAUACCUUGCUGUUUUGACGUUACCAACAGAAUAAGCACCGGCUAACUUCGUG
RNAcentral lists this ribosomal RNA (483 nucleotides) under uncultured bacterium. Its description in RNAcentral is "partial 16S ribosomal RNA". It matches the Rfam family "Bacterial small subunit ribosomal RNA", at positions 30 to 507 of the family's 1533-position model. The record is from RNAcentral.